Molecule: ribosomal RNA, 1014 nt
Filed under: human gut metagenome
Description: bacterial SSU rRNA
Rfam family: Bacterial small subunit ribosomal RNA
Source: RNAcentral
CCAGCAGCCGCGGUAAUACGUAGGGUGCAAGCGUUAUCCGGAAUUAUUGGGCGUAAAGGGCUCGUAGGCGGCUCGUCGCGUCCGGUGUGAAAGUCCAUCGCUUAACGGUGGAUCUGCGCCGGGUACGGGCGGGCUGGAGUGCGGUAGGGGAGACUGGAAUUCCCGGUGUAACGGUGGAAUGUGUAGAUAUCGGGAAGAACACCAAUGGCGAAGGCAGGUCUCUGGGCCGUUACUGACGCUGAGGAGCGAAAGCGUGGGGAGCGAACAGGAUUAGAUACCCUGGUAGUCCACGCCGUAAACGGUGGAUGCUGGAUGUGGGGCCCGUUCCACGGGUUCCGUGUCGGAGCUAACGCGUUAAGCAUCCCGCCUGGGGAGUACGGCCGCAAGGCUAAAACUCAAAGAAAUUGACGGGGGCCCGCACAAGCGGCGGAGCAUGCGGAUUAAUUCGAUGCAACGCGAAGAACCUUACCUGGGCUUGACAUGUUCCCGACCGUUCCAGAGAUGGGGCUUCCCUUCGGGGCGGGUUCACAGGUGGUGCAUGGUCGUCGUCAGCUCGUGUCGUGAGAUGUUGGGUUAAGUCCCGCAACGAGCGCAACCCUCGCCGCAUGUUGCCAGCGGGUGAUGCCGGGAACUCAUGUGGGACCGCCGGGGUCAACUCGGAGGAAGGUGGGGAUGACGUCAGAUCAUCAUGCCCCUUACGUCCAGGGCUUCACGCAUGCUACAAUGGCCGGUACAACGGGAUGCGACACGGCGACGUGGAGCGGAUCCCUGAAAACCGGUCUCAGUUCGGAUCGCAGUCUGCAACUCGACUGCGUGAAGGCGGAGUCGCUAGUAAUCGCGAAUCAGCAACGUCGCGGUGAAUGCGUUCCCGGGCCUUGUACACACCGCCCGUCAAGUCAUGAAAGUGGGCAGCACCCGAAGCCGGUGGCCUAACCCCUUGUGGGAUGGAGCCGUCUAAGGUGAGGCUCGUGAUUGGGACUAAGUCGUAACAAGGUAGCCGUACCGGAAGGUGCG